This 27-nucleotide small RNA is filed under the name Bombyx mori (domestic silkworm). RNAcentral's name for it is "ovarian small RNA-3130". Lineage: Eukaryota; Metazoa; Arthropoda; Insecta; Lepidoptera; Bombycidae. The record is from RNAcentral.
UAUCCAUAAUGGGAGCGCACAAACACA